RNAcentral lists this ribosomal RNA (465 nucleotides) under Vreelandella stevensii. Its description in RNAcentral is "partial 16S ribosomal RNA". It matches the Rfam family "Bacterial small subunit ribosomal RNA", at positions 338 to 795 of the family's 1533-position model. Lineage: Bacteria; Pseudomonadati; Pseudomonadota; Gammaproteobacteria; Oceanospirillales; Halomonadaceae. The record is from RNAcentral.
CCUACGGGUGGCGGCAGUGGGGAAUAUUGGACAAUGGGCGAAAGCCUGAUCCAGCCAUGCCGCGUGUGUGAAGAAGGCCUUCGGGUUGUAAAGCACUUUCAGUGGGGAAGAAAGCCUUGGGGCUAAUACCCUCGAGGAAGGACAUCACCCACAGAAGAAGCACCGGCUAACUCCGUGCCAGCAGCCGCGGUAAUACGGAGGGUGCGAGCGUUAAUCGGAAUUACUGGGCGUAAAGCGCGCGUAGGCGGUCUGAUAAGCCGGUUGUGAAAGCCCCGGGCUCAACCUGGGAACGGCAUCCGGAACUGUCAGGCUAGAGUGCAGGAGAGGAAGGUAGAAUUCCCGGUGUAGCGGUGAAAUGCGUAGAGAUCGGGAGGAAUACCAGUGGCGAAGGCGGCCUUCUGGACUGACACUGACGCUGAGGUGCGAAAGCGUGGGUAGCAAACAGGAUUAGAUACCCGAGUAGUC